UUCGCCCCGUUUUUUCAAAAACAUCGCCUCUUGCUAAACCGAAAGUAUAAGAAGGUCCCGCCUGCCCUGUGACUAUAUGUUUAACGGCCGCGGUAUUUUGACCGUGCGAAGGUAGCGCAAUCACUUGUCUUUUAAAUGGGGACCUGUAUGAAUGGCAUAACGAGGGCUUAACUGUCUCCUCUUUCAAGUCAAUGAAAUUGAUCUCCCCGUGCAGAAGCGAGGAUAGAUACAUAAGACGAGAAGACCCUAUGGAGCUUUAGACACUAAAGCAGAUCAGUAUUAAUACCCUGAACAUAGACUACGAAUAAACUGACCCCUGCCCUAAUGUCUUUGGUUGGGGCGACCGCGGAGAAAAAUAAAACCCCCGCAAGGACUAAAUGUACUACAUUCACAAACAAGAGCGACAGCUCUAACUAACAGAACUUCUGACCAAUAAGAUCCGGCAAUGCCG
This 451-nucleotide ribosomal RNA is filed under the name Epinephelus fuscoguttatus (brown-marbled grouper). RNAcentral describes it as "partial 16S ribosomal RNA". It matches the Rfam family "Bacterial large subunit ribosomal RNA", at positions 1790 to 2431 of the family's 2925-position model. Lineage: Eukaryota; Metazoa; Chordata; Actinopteri; Perciformes; Serranidae. The record is from RNAcentral.